AAGCAAGGUGUUGUGGUGAAAAAUUUUCACCUUUUAAGAGUAUUAUAAUAUUGAACAAUGGCCACCAAGGAAUUUACUUAUGAAAUUCCUAAAAUGAAACACUCAAGUCAGAAUGGAAUUUAUGGAGGUUUAAUCACAAUGGGAGUGGGGAAAGGAGAGGGAGAGAAGGAGAGAGGAGAAAAGGGAAAGGGGCUACUCAACCUCUGACCAAGGCAGAGGGAGUUUAGGCCCAAAGGGCCAAGGUGGAAGGAAUCAGUCCUUGACUCACGUGACCGAUCUGAAAGGAAGCUGUCUGCAGGCCUCCUCACUCUUCAAGCUUCUAACACAAACUCACGUCUAGCUCUCUCCACAGGAAGUGAGCGAAUUCCAGAGGCUGCUCUCUCCAUCACUUCCUGUGCCUCACACGUACCAAUGGUGGCUCAACCUUGGCUUAGGACAGCCCAGCUGCUGCCAGAGAGUUUGCUGAAUGCUAGGAGCACAGCAAAGACAAAAAUUGAUUCAUUUCUUCACCAUCACUACCUCUUGCCAGUAUCAUCUUUAUGCUGUAGUGGGAAGAGCAAUGAACUUGAGGUCAGAAGGCAAUGGCAAGUAAUGAGGCAAGUCAGGAAAAGGAUUUCCCCUCCUUGUGGCAACAUUGUGAUGCAUAGGAAAAUGCACUCAUAAGAGGGAAAUAAAAGCAAUGGACCAAUUCA
Molecule: long non-coding RNA, 692 nt
Filed under: Monodelphis domestica (gray short-tailed opossum)
Lineage: Eukaryota; Metazoa; Chordata; Mammalia; Didelphimorphia; Didelphidae
Description: lncRNA (ENSMODG00000032947.2)
Source: RNAcentral